CCUACGGGUGGCAGCAGUCGAGAAUCAUUCACAAUGGGGGAAACCCUGAUGGUGCGACGCCGCGUGGGGGAAUGAAGGUCUUCGGAUUGUAAACCCCUGUCAUGUGGGAGCAAAUUAAAAAGAUAGUACCACAAGAGGAAGAGACGGCUAACUCUGUGCCAGCAGCCGCGGUAAUACAGAGGUCUCAAGCGUUGUUCGGAAUCACUGGGCGUAAAGCGUGCGUAGGCUGUUUCGUAAGUCGUGUGUGAAAGGCGCGGGCUCAACCGGCGGACGGCACAUGAUACUGCGAGACUAGAGUAAGGGAGGGGGAACCGGAAUUCUCGGUGUAGCAGUGAAAUGCGUAGAUAUCGAGAGGAACACUCGUGGCGAAGGCGGGUUCCUGGACAUUAACUGACGCUGAGGCACGAAGGCCAGGGGAGCGAAAGGGAUUAGAUACCCCAGUAGUC
RNAcentral lists this ribosomal RNA (446 nucleotides) under uncultured bacterium. RNAcentral's name for it is "partial 16S ribosomal RNA". It matches the Rfam family "Bacterial small subunit ribosomal RNA", at positions 338 to 795 of the family's 1533-position model. The record is from RNAcentral.